Homo sapiens (human) is the source of this 493-nucleotide long non-coding RNA. RefSeq lists it as uncharacterized. The record is from RefSeq and is a predicted model, not a curated record. The transcript is spliced from 4 exons. Lineage: Eukaryota; Metazoa; Chordata; Mammalia; Primates; Hominidae.
GUCCAACAGUGUCAGUUUCUGGUGAGGGCUGUCUUCCUCGUUUCCAGAUGACUGCCUUCUCCCCUUCUUGCUGUGUCCUCACAAGGUUAAGCUGGACCAGAACAAUCCAGAGACCAAUGAGGAUGUGAAUGGCCAGCCAGAGAGCUGAUACCUGUUAAGGCUUUGUCACCCUGUGGCCUCAGCCGUGUUGCUUCUCCUCUCUUGGUGUCAGCUGUUUAUUUGCAAAGCCGGGGCUGGACUCGAUGAACAGCGCUCAGUCAAAGGCCUUUUGUAGUUGAAAUAUUCCAGAGGAUGCUGUCACUUGGAAAUACAUUCUCUCAGGCAUCCUAGGACUAUCAAUCACUGGACCUGCCCACCCACUGUGCCCACUCUGACUUCUAAGGGAUGACACUACUCCACAUUCAGCCUCUGCUGCCCAGGCCUCCGUGUUCUUGCUCCAGGCUGGCUUUACAGUCCCAAAGGUCAUCUCAGAGCAGCAGCAGCAGCAGCAGCA